Molecule: ribosomal RNA, 525 nt
Filed under: Oceanospirillaceae bacterium M16-C4
Lineage: Bacteria; Pseudomonadati; Pseudomonadota; Gammaproteobacteria; Oceanospirillales; Oceanospirillaceae
Description: bacterial SSU rRNA
Rfam family: Bacterial small subunit ribosomal RNA
Source: RNAcentral
UUGAGUUUGAUCAUGGCUCAGAUUGAACGCUGGCGGCAGGCCUAACACAUGCAAGUCGAGCGGCAGCACGAGAAAGCUUGCUUUCUUGGUGGCGAGCGGCGGACGGGUGAGUAAUACAUGGGAAUCUGCCCGAUAGUGGGGGACAACGUUUCGAAAGGAACGCUAAUACCGCAUACGUCCUACGGGAGAAAGCAGGCUUAGGCUUGCGCUAUCGGAUGAGCCCAUGUCGGAUUAGCUUGUUGGUGAGGUAAUGGCUCACCAAGGCGACGAUCCGUAACUGGUCUGAGAGGAUGAUCAGUCACACCGGAACUGAGACACGGUCCGGACUCCUACGGGAGGCAGCAGUGGGGAAUAUUGGACAAUGGGGGCAACCCUGAUCCAGCCAUGCCGCGUGUGUGAAGAAGGCCUUCGGGUUGUAAAGCACUUUCAGCGAGGAGGAAAGCAGUAAGGUUAAUACCCUUAUUGUGUGACGUUACUCGCAGAAGAAGCACCGGCAAACUCCGUGCCAGCAGCCGCGUAUUCGAC